CACAGGAAGUGAUGUCAUCAUACAAACACACCCACAGGAAGUGAUGUCACCAAACAGAUGUACAUCACAGGAAGUGAUGUCACCAAACAGAUGUACAUCACAGGAAAUGACAUCACAAAACAAAUGUACACAUCACUUCACAGGAAGUGAGGUCACCAAACAAAUGUACAUCACAGGAAGUGAUAUAAUUAUAACAUCCUUCUCUCGAAAAGGAAGUGAUAUUACCCAAAAAGUGUAGGUUAUCACAACAAAUAUUCAGGUAAGGACUCUUAAGAGAAAUAAUUGAUAAUAAUAUGUAAAUAUCUAUUCAUAGAUAUCAUGGCUUCUGACCUCUGGGAAAGGAGGUCAAGGUCACAGAUAAUAAAGUACACUGAUUAUAUUGUUUAUUUUUCCCUUCCUGGUAAACUAGUUAAUAUACAUUUAAUGAUAUCUAGGUAGGUAAAUGAUAUCUAUCAAAAUAAUUCACAGUUUUAUCACAAAAUACUUUAGUACUUCAAAUAACAACAUAGAAGUAAAUAGCAUUCAAAAAUUUCAGCAAAGAUAAAUUAGUUUUGCACUAUAUCUGUAAGUCUUAGACUAAACCAGUGUAGUUCUUGAUCCUAAUUAUAGCUAAAGUGACCUGUCUAUACCAACCCUCUGCUGGUCAAAUUAUUUGUUCGAGAAAACCAGGUUUACAGAAAAGACAGAUUUCAAUCUACUGAGAAAUAUAAACAAAUCUGUUCACUCUAUAAUAUAUAGAAAUAAGUAUUUCAUCACUCCGAAAUCUUACCAACAUAUGCACGACUUCUGUUUACUAAGCUACAAAAUAGGUAAGAUAUCAACAGCUUACCAUGUAUUUAAACAUGUGUUACUAUGGUAACCCCAUAUAUUAUUAUUUCACUCCCUGGUAAAAUCCUUUUAAAAUACUGCCAUCUUAUUCCCACAAAAAUGACUUCUAAUUCUUUUAAAUUCUGAGACAUGAAGUUGAAUUUAAAAGUCCUUCUGUAUAUCAUGGUUAGACUUGUUAAUGCCCCACUACAAUGUACAACGAAACCCUGCCACGAAAGAUGGUAAGUGAUUAACAAGAACUAAAUAGUGAUGACCGGACCGCGUGAGCCUUUCAAAUCAGGUCUCUGAGGAGGCGAAAACAAGUGUUAAAUCAAGCUAAUGCCACAAAUUUCUAUUUCUUAACUUUCUCUAGCAAGUUUCAAAUUUCAUUUUUUUUGUUAUGCUUCAGUUUUGAACAUUAAAAUUUGCUGAUUUUUUUUUUUUUUUUUUAUUUUUGAUUUUUGAUUUUCCCCAAGUUCAGAAAGGUUCAGCCAUUUUUCUGAGCCAAAUUAUGAAUCUAAUGUCGACUGUCAUUAACGAAAAGCACAUAAAGAUACAGAUCAAGAUUGAAAGUUUAAUUGAAAUCUUUAAGAUAGAAAAUUAAGAAAUAGAAAAAAUCAGUUUCCUUCUGACUGAAGGAAACAAGUAGCAUUAUGGGAUGUCACAAAAUAAAUGACAUGUUUAAAUUGAUGGAAAGCAAGACAAAUAUUACAAAUGUGAAAUCAUUUUUUACAAUGCUGCCUUUUAAAUAACUAAAUUACAAUGCAUCAUGGGAAAUUGAAAUGAGUGACACCUUCUGUAGUUAAAAAAAAAAAUCUGUGAAUAUUUAUUUAAACUGUGUCAUUGCAACACAACAUAUUAAAAAAUAGCAUGUUCCAGAUUUAAAGGCGAUGAAUUCUUGACUGAUGCUUACGAGAUAAGCAAUUAUUGUUAAAAAUCUUAAGAGUUUGUCUUCUUUCAGAAAUACUUUUCUAUGUCUGAAAGUCUCUCUAGCUAGUCACAUAAAAUCCAUUUUCUCGAAUCUCUCACAAAAUUGAUGAUAAUGUUCACACAUAUUCUCAUUUACUAACAUUCUCGAAAUGUUUAGGAUUUGAAAGAAAUACACAACUUCACGACAAUGAUGAGGGUAGAAACAGUGACAUGCCACAUCUUUUAUAUUAAUCAAAGAAUCAAGUCGUGAGCAUUUAUUUUUUCUCUGUAAAAUGAAUGGUCCCAAGUAAAUCAGCACCUUUUUGUGUUCAUGUUACGACAAACUAUGUCAAUUUUAGUCGCGACAAAGUUUUUAUGAUAAAUAAUUAUAGUAUGAUAUACCGGUAUUAGGUAAAUGGUUUUAAGAUGUAUUAAAA
Molecule: long non-coding RNA, 2153 nt
Organism: Pecten maximus
Lineage: Eukaryota; Metazoa; Mollusca; Bivalvia; Pectinida; Pectinidae
Exons: 2
Source: RefSeq, a predicted model, not a curated record